Long non-coding RNA from Nothoprocta perdicaria, 186 nucleotides. RefSeq lists it as uncharacterized. The transcript is spliced from 3 exons. The record is from RefSeq and is a predicted model, not a curated record. Lineage: Eukaryota; Metazoa; Chordata; Aves; Tinamiformes; Tinamidae.
UGCCAUUAUUUGAGUGAAAAGUCCCGGUCUCCUCAGAUACUGUGUGUUGCUGUGUAUCCACUCAACAAACAAUUAUCAGUAAAGUGUGAAAGAUGUCAAGAAGCUGAAUAGAGAGGUUGAUGGUUAGAGGACUUGACCAUUAAAGGACUCCAGAGAAUCCUGCUCAAGUUCCUCAAAGUGAGACUU